CCAGGCAAGUCUCCUAGAGGAUGAAAGAGCAGACGGAGAGAGGACCCAGCCACCCCAGCCCAAACCACCCUCUUCAGAUGUGUACUGUAUCCUGGGAUCCUCUAAAAGGAAGGAAAAUCCAGGAGAAGAAGGAUGCUCUGACUACAACUCUCUCUUCAAAGUUCGGUGGAACUGCAACCAGGGUCCAGAUGGAUGAUUAAGGCCUAAACCCCAAACUUGCCUUGGAUCAUACUACUGUUUCAGCUCAAGCUACACAUCCUUUGAAGAUUGACAGGGGUUUUGCUCCAUAGAUCAUCAGAGACUCAAGCUGAUAUUGGCUCCACUAUCUUGUGACAUUGCCAUCUCAGCACAUGGCUCCAAAGGCACCACAGUAAAGGCACAGUGUGGAGGACUCAACUAAAUCCUAUUCACGGCCCAGUGGCCAGAACCAGUCCCACGGCCCCAACCUAACAGCCAGGAGCUACCAAGGAGAGGAGUACCAGAUAUGGUGAUUCUUGUAAUCUCUACCACACUAUAUCUUUGGAUUUGUGUAGAUUGUGUCAAUGUUACCAUCAAUUUAGAAAUAUGAUUCAUAGAAUUUUUAUUAAAAAGGUAUGAUGGGGGGCUGGCCCAGUGUUGUAGUGGUUAAGUUCGUGCGCUCUGCUUCAGUGGCCCGGGUUUGCAGGUUCGGAUCCCGGGCACGGACAUAUGCACAUGCUUAUCAAGCCAUGCUGUGGCAGGCGUCCCACAUAUAAAAUAGAGGGAGAUGGGCACACCUGUUAGCU
Diceros bicornis minor is the source of this 764-nucleotide long non-coding RNA. RefSeq lists it as uncharacterized. The transcript is spliced from 4 exons. The record is from RefSeq and is a predicted model, not a curated record. Lineage: Eukaryota; Metazoa; Chordata; Mammalia; Perissodactyla; Rhinocerotidae.